This 1451-nucleotide ribosomal RNA is filed under the name uncultured bacterium. Its description in RNAcentral is "bacterial SSU rRNA". It matches the Rfam family "Bacterial small subunit ribosomal RNA". The record is from RNAcentral.
GAUGAACGCUAGCGGCAGGCUUAACACAUGCAAGUCGAGGGGCAGCAUAAGGGUAGCAAUGCUCUGGUGGCGACCGGCGCACGGGUGAGUAACGCGUAUGUAAUCUACCUAUAACUGGAGCAUAACCCGAAGAAAUUCGGACUAAUUCUCCAUAGCAUGUUAGCUUGGCAUCAAGUUAAUAUUAAAGGCUUCGGCUGGUUAUAGAUGAACAUGCGUAUCAUUAGAUAGUUGGUAAGGUAACGGCUUACCAAGUCUACGAUGAUUAGGGGUUCUGAGAGGAUAAACCCCCACACUGGGACUGAGACACGGCCCAGACUCCUACGGGAGGCAGCAGUGAGGAAUAUUGGUCAAUGGUCGAAAGACUGAACCAGCCAUGCCGCGUGCAGGACUACGGCUCUACGAGUCUUAAACUGCUUUUUUAAGGGAACAAUAAGCACUACGAGUAGUGUGAUGAGUGUACCUUACGAAUAAGCACCGGCUAACUCCGUGCCAGCAGCCGCGGUAAUACGGAGGGUACAAGCGUUAUCCGGAUUUAUUGGGUUUAAAGGGUGCGUAGGCUGUUUAGUAAGUCAGUGGUGAAAUUUGGGGGCUCAACCCCUAACGUGCCAUUGAUACUGCUAAGCUUGAAUAUGAAUGAAGUUGGAGGAAUGUGUGGUGUAGCGGUGAAAUGCUUAGAUAUCACACAGAAGGUCGAAUGCGAAGGCAUCUGACUAAUUCAUUAUUGACGCUGAUGCACGAAAGCGUGGGGAUCAAACAGGAUUAGAUACCCUGGUAGUCCACGCCGUAAACGAUGAUAACUCGCUGUCGGGCCUUAGGGCUCGGUGGCUUAGCGAAAGCGUUAAGUUAUCCACCUGGGGAGUACGACCGCAAGGUUGAAACUCAAAGGAAUUGACGGGGGCCCGCACAAGCGGAGGAACAUGUGGUUUAAUUCGAUGAUACGCGAGGAACCUUACCCGGGCUCGAACGGCUAUUGAAUGUGUGUGAAAGCAUACAGCUAUUUAUAGCAAUAGUCGAGGUGCUGCAUGGUUGUCGUCAGCUCGUGCCGUGAGGUGUCGGCUUAAGUGCCAUAACGAGCGCAACCCUUGUCGUUAGUUACCAGCGAGUAAUGUCGGGGACUCUAGCGAGACUGCCAGCGUAAGCUGUGAGGAAGGGGGGGAUGACGUCAAAUCAGCACGGCCCUUACGUCCGGGGCGACACACGUGUUACAAUGGGAGGUACAGCGGGAAGCUACCUAGCGAUAGGAUGCCAAUCUGUAAAGCCUCUCUCAGUUCGGAUCGGAGUCUGCAACUCGACUCCGUGAAGUUGGAUUCGCUAGUAAUCGCACAUCAGCCAUGGUGCGGUGAAUACGUUCCCGGGCCUUGUACACACCGCCCGUCAAGCCAUGGAAGCUGAGGGUACUUGAAGUACGUCACCGCAAGGAGCGUCCUAGGGUAAAAUUGGUAACUGGGGCU